Potamilus streckersoni is the source of this 82-nucleotide non-coding RNA. NCBI's taxonomy places the organism in Eukaryota, Metazoa, Mollusca, Bivalvia, Unionida, Unionidae. The record is from the annotation of a GenBank genome assembly.
GACUGAACCGCUCCGGUGGCCUAGUGGUUAGAGCCUCCGCCUCGGAUGCGGGAGUUCGUUGGUUCGAUCCCCGGCCGAGUCA